Long non-coding RNA from Ornithorhynchus anatinus (platypus), 942 nucleotides. RefSeq lists it as uncharacterized. The transcript has 3 exons. The record is from RefSeq and is a predicted model, not a curated record. NCBI's taxonomy places the organism in Eukaryota, Metazoa, Chordata, Mammalia, Monotremata, Ornithorhynchidae.
CAAGGCUCAGGAAAGUGAAGUGUCUGGUCCAAGAUCACACAGCAGAUAAGAGGUAGAGCAAGGAAUAGAACAAAGAGAACUGUCUUGACCUGCCAGUGGUUGCUUCUGGGAAUCUAGGGUCCGGAGUCAGCCAGGAAGCCUAUUAGUGUGUGAACUCUAUUCCUUUCUGAAAAACAGAGUUCAGAGAUUGAGUUGUCACAGAUGUAGACAGGGAACAUGGAAGACAAACAAACUGAAUUUUGUCCAGUUUGGGUUGGACCUCCAGUCCCUGGAGUACAGGCUCUUCCUGGACUAACCGAUUUGGAAGGGGUGGCUAAGUAUUAGUAGAGCAGAGAGUUGCAUUCAAUUGAAGUGGGAUUGAUUGUCUGUGUCUGUAGACCUCACCUCUCCCGAGGUUGGGGUCAUUGGAAAGAGCGAGAAUUGAGCGUUUACAAAACAACAGAAAUGGUUGCCUGAAACACCUACCCCUUUCUCACUAGCUUCCGGGUCGUUGAUUCUCCCGGAGACAUCAAUAUGUGGUGACUGCGAUGUGGUCCUCAGGUGCUGAGAGAGGGCAGGGUGAGAAACCCAAGCGUUCAGGAGCAUCAAUCCAGAUGUCCCUGCCAAGGUUUCAGAUGGGCAUCGGACCAGACCAGCAGAGGAGCUCCAAUUAUACGCCACCGAUGCUCCGGGGUCCUUUACCGUGGUGCCGGAAGAGGCCUCGGCAGAGCACCGUCAGACCACUUAGGCGGCAGAGUGCUGCUGGAGGGAAUGUAUGUACUAGGACCACCUCGACGAUCUCAUAGGCGGGGAGCCGAGGUGAGGGAAGGCACCGAUAGAACGGACUAGGUCGCGAUGGACCACUCGCCCGCCUUUCAUCCGGAUAAGGCCCGCUCGAGCUCUCCACGGCCACGAGGCUGUUGACCGUGCAGUGUGGACACCGACCGGUUGGCUGCCCGGGCU